CACGUUUACUUCGGAUUCAUCACAAAAUCAGGCAGAAAAAAGGAAGACUGCUGGCUGGCACCAUCCUUGACCCAGACUGAGCUGGCUAACCAGGCAGUGCCUCCUCACUAGGGACUGAAGCCUAUUCUUGUGGCAGGAAGAUGACCAAGGCCAGGUAUUGUCGUCGUGUAACACAGAGGGAGCUGGGUGAGUUACAGAAGUGACCUCAGCGACUGCCCACGAGCGACUUCAGGUCAGGUCAGUUUUAGUUCCUGCUUCCUGCUUUGCUGGCAAAUCUGAUGCUGAUGAUGUCAGUCCAAUGCAGUCCAGCUUUCUAAGAAAGGCACAGUCAGGUAUCAGUGGCAAUGCUGAAGGCAGUACAGAUGGUUUGGUAUUGCUGGAGUGAACUAUUAUAUCCUUUUAUUCUCCCUGUUUGUGUGUUUUAUCUUUUAAUGAUGUAUAUUUCUUAAUCUACCUUGUGUUUUUGUAUUUAGUCUAAAUGUACUCAUUUACGCCAAUCAAUACAAUAUUAAAUACCUUUUCUUAGUCACCGGGAUAACUCAAAUGAUUUAAUAUGGCCCAAUUGUUUUCCAAAAAUGUGCAUUCUGGAAGGCAAUUUUCAAAUAAUUUAUAAAUUUAUAUUACUUUCAUUUUAGAGAUAUUUUCCCUUCCUGGAAACACCAAACUAUCACAUGGAGUGUGGCUAUGAUGUGACUGUCCAUUCAGUCAAACAAAUAUUCGGGAGCAAACGCCAAAAAAAAGACUCAUUACUGCAGUUCAUCUAGUUACGUGUCUGUGAAACAGCUAGUUACAUGUUGUUGUUUCUUGUUUUCUUUAUGAAAAAUGUUUUGUUAAAUGGCUCAUACCGUAGUCUUCCUCCUUCUUCCUCCAAGGAUAUGUAUUGUCCUCCCUGACUCUGUCCUGUACACCAAUGAUUGUAAGAGUUAUCACCACUCAAAACACAUAAUUAAAUUUCCAGACGACUCUGUUAUUGUAAGUUUGCAGCAAGCAGAUGAGGGUGGCCAUAGGCCAAUUGUAGAUGAGACAUGGCGAAUAAUUUCAAGAACCCUAAAGUCCCCAAUCAAACCUGCAUCACUGGACAAUCAAUGGAGAUGUUUGGCAAAUAUAAGUAUUCAGUGAUUGUUCUGGACUAGAACUUUUUAGAGGCAACAGGAUAUGUUUUUCUUAAGAAAACUUCAGCAUUUUUAGGUUUGUUAUUUGUUGUUGAUCAAGUUUUAGCAGACUUUCAUUGAAUCUGCUUUAACUUUUGCCCUGAUCUGCUGGUUUGGGAAUAUGAAUCUGAGCAGUAAGAACAAACUGUGGAGCAUUGUCAAACUAUUUCAGAAAGUCAUUGGUGUUGAUCUUUUGACCCUACCCCAAGUCUAUGAGUUAUGAGUCUUCCAUAAAGUAUAUUCCGCCAUAGAUGACCCUUCACACCCUAUCUUUAAUGAACUACUCCAUGAUACCCAGAUACAGACAUCCCAGUUUAAACAGGUCCAGGUUCUCUUUAAUACCUAUGACCAUAGCCUUGCUCAACAGUUGAUUUUCUUGCUCAUGUUUAUGUGUAUUGUUUGUGUGUUUUUUCUUUCUAUGGUCUGCUGCUGUAAUACAAAUUGCCCCUUGGGGACAAUGAGGUCUGUCAUAGGGGUAUACUCCAUACUGUGGUUUGGUCCUACAGAAAAUGACAUUGUUGCAUGAACAUAAGAAGAAUUACAAACAAGAGACGGCCAUUCAACUCAUCUAGAAUGAAUUCCAUUCAUCUGUGAAUUCAUUUGCUACUUAUGACCCCCAAACGACCUAUAUCAAUAGAACAGUAUUUCAGUUACUUCAGGAAAUCGCUGCAGUUUGGAGUCUUGGGUUUGUGUUAAGGCAUGACUUUGAGCAGUUUCUCUCUUGUUCUUUAAAGAUAAUGAAAAUAAAGAUUAUCAAGAACGGUGCACCCAUGUAAGCUUUGAAAAGGAAUUUUAGAAGUGCCUUGUUUGUACAGGUUUUAACACAGCGCACCCUUAAGGAAUUAGUAAAAUAAUAUGAAGUGUGGUGAACUGCUGAUUGAUUGAACUUUGCAAAAAAAAACUUUUGUUCUAUAUUAAUGAAAUUGCAACUUAGAAAUGCUCAUAUUUUCGUAAGCAGAUUUUUGAAAUUCGUUUUCCAAAAAAUACCAAUGCCAAAUACUUCUUUAAAAUCACAGAAUGUGAUACCAGUACCACACGUUAUACUGUAUAUUCUCCUGGAGAUAGGAAAAAAUGGGAUUGACCCCAGUGGUCGUUUGCAAUUAAUGUACUUCAUCCUCUCGUGCUUGUACUUGAAUAAUUAAAAAUAGAACAGCUUAAAAUAGACACAAAGAGAGCACUCCAUUCGUGUUGCUUUAAACUGAACUAUGAGAGAACCAAAGUUUUCUUCCUGUUGAUUCAAGAUUCAAGACUUAUUAUUGUGUAUUCUGCAGUGAGUCAGUUCCUAGUGUCCAUGUGAUGUCGUAGCUGUGGUCUUUAAAACAUACUGAUGAUUUGGUUAUUUUCUAAUACUGCAGUCAGUUUGCAAUAAAACAUCUAUUAACAUCCUCAAAACAUGUGAUGUUAAAAUGAGAAGUACUGUACAUUGUGGAAAAAUGAUGCAUGUUUUCUUCCAGAG
Lepisosteus oculatus (spotted gar) is the source of this 2607-nucleotide long non-coding RNA. RefSeq lists it as uncharacterized. The record is from RefSeq and is a predicted model, not a curated record. NCBI's taxonomy places the organism in Eukaryota, Metazoa, Chordata, Actinopteri, Semionotiformes, Lepisosteidae.